RNAcentral lists this ribosomal RNA (853 nucleotides) under uncultured Acidobacteriota bacterium. Its description in RNAcentral is "bacterial SSU rRNA". It matches the Rfam family "Bacterial small subunit ribosomal RNA", at positions 71 to 902 of the family's 1533-position model. The record is from RNAcentral. Lineage: Bacteria; Pseudomonadati; Acidobacteriota.
AAAGUCCCGCAAGGGAUAAGUAGAGUGGCAAACGGGUGAGUAACACGUGGGUGACCUGCCUUCGAGUGGGGGAUAACGUCCCGAAAGGGACGCUAAUACCGCAUAACAUCCUGCCUUUGAAGAGGUGGAGAUCAAAGCUGGGGAUCGCAAGACCUAGCGCUGGAAGAGGGGCCCGCGCCUGAUUAGCUAGUUGGUGGGGUAAUGGCUCACCAAGGCAACGAUCAGUAUCCGGCCUGAGAGGGCGGACGGACACACUGGGACUGAGACACGGCCCAGACUCCUACGGGAGGCAGCAGUGGGGAAUUGUUCGCAAUGGGCGCAAGCCUGACGACGCAACGCCGCGUGGAGGAUGAAGACCUUCGGGUCGUAAACUCCUUUCGAUCGAGACGAACGGCUCCUGGACGAAUAAUCCGGGAGAGUGACGGUACCGAGAGAAGAAGCCCCGGCUAACUCCGUGCCAGCAGCCGCGGUAAUACGGGGGGGGCAAGCGUUGUUCGGAAUUACUGGGCGUAAAGGGCUCGCAGGUGGCCAACUAAGUCAGACGUGAAAUCCCUCGGCUUAACCGGGGAACUGCGUCUGAUACUGGAUGGCUUGAGAUCGGGAGAGGGAUGCGGAAUUCCAGGUGUAGCGGUGAAAUGCGUAGAUAUCUGGAGGAACACCGGUGGCGAAGGCGGCAUCCUGGACCGACACUGACGCUGAGGAGCGAAAGCCAGGGGAGCAAACGGGAUUAGAUACCCCGGUAGUCCUGGCCCUAAACGAUGAAUGCUUGGUGUGGCGGGUAUCGAUCCCUGCCGUGCCGAAGCUAACGCAUUAAGCAUUCCGCCUGGGGAGUACGGUCGCAAGGCUGAAACUC